Cicer arietinum (chickpea) is the source of this 745-nucleotide long non-coding RNA. RefSeq lists it as uncharacterized. The record is from RefSeq and is a predicted model, not a curated record. Lineage: Eukaryota; Viridiplantae; Streptophyta; Magnoliopsida; Fabales; Fabaceae.
UAUUUUCCAUCAGUUUUCUAAAGUCCAAGUAACCCUCCAUUCGAUAUGGGAAAGAAACAAAAAAGAAAAUUAGUGGAAUGGUAGAGAAGAAAAUUAGUUGAUAAGAAAAAUAUAUGCACGUUGAAAAAAAAAAUUAAUUGACCUCUAACCUAACCACAAAUAUAUACCUGCAUCAACAUAGCAAAUAAGUUGCAAGAAAAUAGAAAAACUUACUUUCAGAUUAAUUUUCAUUAAUAUAGUUAUUAAGUUAUUUGUAGCUUCUUCACCCUUUAUUCCUAAGAAAAAAUGGAUUCACCUCCUAGGUACCAAGAGAUAAGUUAUGUGGAACAUGUUCACAAACGCCAAGAAGAAAAAGGAUGCAUUUAUGCUUGCUUGUUUACCUUAUUAUGUUGCUGCUUCUGCUGCUAUGAGACAUGUGAAUGUUGUUGCUGCUGCGCUCCUAGAAGAAUGACUAGAAUGAUAAAGAAAUUAAUAAAAUCAGUUUUAUAAUCCAAAUUUAAUAAUGAUUUUUCUAUGUUAAUUUCUAUGUAAUAAUUAGAAAUAAAAUAAAGAUGCAACUUUUCUAGUAUGUUACUUUUGACUUUGCCUUUGAUUUUUUUUGUAAAUAUACUUUAUGCUUAAGGAAGCAUAGGCCUAACUUGGCCCCCUUUUUUCAUCUUGAAAUAUUUUUACUUAGUGUGAAUUACUAUGGUGAUAAUAAUUAAUUAAGAGUGAAAUGAACAAUAAACAUGAGACAUUUGUUGUA